CGAAGGGGGCUAGCGUUGCUCGGAAUCACUGGGCGUAAAGCGCACGUAGGCGGAUCGUUAAGUCAGGGGUGAAAUCCUGGAGCUCAACUCCAGAACUGCCUUUGAUACUGGCGAUCUUGAGUUCGGGAGAGGUGAGUGGAACUGCGAGUGUAGAGGUGAAAUUCGUAGAUAUUCGCAAGAACACCAGUGGCGAAGGCGGCUCACUGGCCCGAUACUGACGCUGAGGUGCGAAAGCGUGGGGAGCAAAUAGGAUUAGAUACCCUGGUAGUCCACGCCGUAAACGAUUAGAGCUAGUUGUCGGCACGCAUGCGUGUCGGUGACGCAGCUAACGCAUUAAGCUCUCCGCCUGGGGAGUACGGUCGCAAGAUUA
RNAcentral lists this ribosomal RNA (370 nucleotides) under uncultured organism. RNAcentral describes it as "bacterial SSU rRNA". It matches the Rfam family "Bacterial small subunit ribosomal RNA", at positions 526 to 896 of the family's 1533-position model. The record is from RNAcentral.